CCACUGGAGAUGGUUAUUGGUCAAGCAGGCAAGCUCCCUCAAGACUGAAAAAGGCGUCCUGCCAGACAAUUACAGUCGUUAGUCGCUAGGCAACAUUACCCCCAUGAUACUAACUUUGCAAGUGUAUAAAAUAAACAUCCCUACUGUUGAAGUCAGUCCUCUUGCUCAUCAGGCAAGAGGUACCUCCACCUGACCCCAGCUCUUGUCUCUUGUCUUUAUUUUUCUCAUACCCACCGCCGUUUCUCUCCAGGGUACAACGAGAGACCAACGAUGUUCCCUACAAGCAUCUUUGAAGCCACAUGUUGUCAUUUAUCAACAAACAAGUUGAAUUAUUAUAUCUGGAAUUCCCAAGGUUGGGGCUGUAGAGAAGGCCUUUUUAAUGUCAUUGAAGGCUUUUCUUGUUCUGUGUUCAAAGUCAAAAAGUGUCAGAGUCUUUUCCAGUCAUGGAAUAAUAUAGGAAUCUUGCUUUUUGUGAACCGAAGGUUCCAGAUUUUGCAGAAGCCAGCAGCUCCAAAGAAUUUGCAGAGUUUGACCGGGAUGGAGCAGAGACCAGUGGGCUGCUAGCAUCAACCAGGAGCCUCUGAUCCAAGCCUAGGAGAGGACUCUGAGCAAGUUUUGAGAGCAGGCCCUCCUCUUGAGGAAACUGCAUAAAGGUUGCUCUUCCACAUGCUGGACCCUAGGCUGUGGCCUAAGUGGCCAGUUAUGCCAUUCCUGGUCAAGGAACCAAAAUUUUGCAGCAAAACUGGAACCACGAAAGGAGCGAUACCAGAGAAGGCUUGGAGACUGUGAACAGCUUUAUUUACACUGGUGGACCUGAUCAGCAUUACUCACAAAGACUCAGGGCAGGAGGAUUUUAUGGGGUUGCAAAGGGAAGUACAGAGGACGAAGGACUUGUCAGUUGGGCAUUGGUACUUACAAUGCACAUCAUAAUGACCAACCAUGCAUCACAGUGACCAGCCACUUCUGGGAAACAAGUAGCAGAAAUUGUCACAGCAACUGAAAUAAGGUGGAAGCUGCCUGGACAACAGAGACUAAAGUAUCCUGGCGGGGAGCCCAUUUUCUUCUAUUCCUUGUGUUGUAACUGUUAGCCUUGCUUGAGUCGUAAACAGUGUAAAUUGUAUAGUGCUGGCUUUGUGUUAGGAAAUGUACAGAUUGUAUCCUUUUUCUGGGUGGUCAGCUUUUAGGCAUGCCUAGAUGGAUUGAUCUGGGGCAUUGCUCUAGCAGUUGAUGAAAAAGAUUCCAGAGAAACAGCUAAUAUGAAAGGCCCCUUAAUAUCUCCGAGGAAGUUAACACAAAUGCACAAUAUGAUUUAAAAUAUCAGUAACACAACUGCACAAAGGGAUUUAAAAUGCCAUAAAGGAAGUGACUUUUCAAGU
Molecule: long non-coding RNA, 1376 nt
Filed under: Chinchilla lanigera (long-tailed chinchilla)
Lineage: Eukaryota; Metazoa; Chordata; Mammalia; Rodentia; Chinchillidae
Description: lncRNA (ENSCLAG00000026283.1)
Source: RNAcentral